RNAcentral lists this unclassified non-coding RNA (376 nucleotides) under uncultured Actinomycetes bacterium. Its description in RNAcentral is "uncultured actinobacterium contains 16S-23S intergenic spacer region". The record is from RNAcentral. Lineage: Bacteria; Bacillati; Actinomycetota; Actinomycetes.
UCCGAGUUGACCCCGGCAGUCUCUUAUGAGUCCCCACCAUUACGUGCUGGCAACAUAAGACGAGGGUUGCGCUCGUUGCGGGACUUAACCCAACAUCUCACGACACGAGCUGGCGACAGCCAUGCACCACCUGUAUAGAGCCCGUAAGGACCUGCCAUCUCUGCCAGUUUUCCCUAUAUGUCAGACCCAGGUAAGGUUCUUCGCGUUGCAUCGAAUUAAUCCACAUGCUCCGCCGCUUGUGCGGGCACCCGUCAAUUCUUUUGAGUUUUAGCCUUGCGGCCGUACUCCCCAGGCGGGACACUUAACGCGUUAACUGCGGCACAGAGGGAUUCGACUCCCCCCACACCUAGUGUCCAUCGUUUACGGCUAGGACUAC